RNAcentral lists this ribosomal RNA (248 nucleotides) under uncultured Ruminiclostridium sp. Its description in RNAcentral is "partial 16S ribosomal RNA". It matches the Rfam family "Bacterial small subunit ribosomal RNA", at positions 524 to 771 of the family's 1533-position model. Lineage: Bacteria; Bacillati; Bacillota; Clostridia; Eubacteriales; Oscillospiraceae. The record is from RNAcentral.
UACGUAGGUGGCGAGCGUUGUCCGGAAUUACUGGGUGUAAAGGGAGCGUAGGCGGGAAAGCAAGUCAGAAGUGAAAACUAUGGGCUCAACCCAUAGCCUGCUUUUGAAACUGUUUUUCUUGAGUGAGUCAGAGGCAAGCGGAAUUCCCAGUGUAGCGGUGAAAUGCGUAGAUAUUGGGAGGAACACCAGUGGCGAAGGCGGCUUGCUGGGGCUUUACUGACGCUGAGGCUCGAAAGCGUGGGGAGCAA